ACGAACUUAGUCAUAGCUGGUUUCUCAAGAAAAGAAUUUUAGUUCCGCCUAAAGCAACAUUAAUCUCAACAAAUCACCCCCACCCUUUAGAGUAAUUCAAAUAAGGUACAGCCUAUUUGAUACAGGAUCCAACCUUCACUUACGGGUAACAUCAAACCCCACCCCGCAUUUAAGUAGGCCUAAUAGCAGCCACCUUUAAAAAAGCGUCGAAGCUUACCCGCCUCAACCUCAAUCCACCAACCAUUAUUGACCCCUAUUACCGUAUUGAGAACUCCUAUACCCCUAUAGGAAAUAUUAUGCUAAAACUAGUAACAAGAGGAAUAACCUCUCCCCAGUGCAAACUUAAGCCAAAGAACCCCCACCGACAAUUAACAGACCUACCCCAAAGUACUAACUAUUCAAGAAAACCCUACUUUCCCCCACUGUUAACCUAACUCAAGCGCACUCCAAGAAAGAUUAAAAGAAAAAGAAGGAACUCGGCAAAUAUUAACUCCGCCUGUUUACCAAAAACAUCGCCUCUUGUCUCCAUAAGAGGUCCAGCCUGCCCAGUGACCCAGUUCAACGGCCGCGGUAUCCUAACCGUGCAAAGGUAGCGUAAUCACUUGUCUUUUAAAUAAAGACUAGUAUGAAAGGCACCACGAGAAUUAAACUGUCUCCUUUUUCCAAUCAGUGAACCUAAUACCCCCGUGAAGAAGCGGGGAUUUUACAAUAAGACGAGAAGACCCUAUGGAGCUUUAAACAUCAUAAUCACCUGCUCAAGACCAAAAAACUCAGGUUCCUCACCCAAACCCAUAAUGAUUAUAUGUUUUUGGUUGGGGUGACCGCGGAGAAAAACCCAUCCCCCGCGAUGAAAAUAACUACCCAAACAACAAGCCACAGCUUUAUGUAUCAACAAAUUGACACCAUUGACCCAAUAUAUUGAUUAACGAACCAAGUUACCCUAGGGAUAACAGCGCAAUCCACUUCAAGAGCUCCUAUCGACAAGUGGGCUUACGACCUCGAUGUUGGAUCAGGGUAUCCUAGUGGUGCAGCCGCUACUAAGGGCUCGUUUGUUCAACGAUUAAAACCCCACGUGAUCUGAGUUCAGACCGGAGUAAUCCAGGUCAGUUUCUAUCUAUUAUAAGGCUUUUUUCAGUACGAAAGGACCAAAAAAGCGUAGCCAACACUCAAACAAGCUACAGUCAGUAAUUUGAGAUUCCCCCUUAAAAACCACUAACCUUACCCCUCCCACC
Molecule: ribosomal RNA, 1232 nt
Filed under: Pristimantis conspicillatus (chirping robber frog)
Lineage: Eukaryota; Metazoa; Chordata; Amphibia; Anura; Strabomantidae
Description: partial 16S ribosomal RNA
Rfam family: Bacterial large subunit ribosomal RNA
Source: RNAcentral